UCGCCUGUUUAACAAAACAUAGUUUAAAGAAAAAAAAUUUUAGAUAAAUUCUGCUCAAUGAGUAAGUUAAAUAGCUGCAGUAAAUUAACUGUACUAAGGUAGCAUAAUAAGUUGCUUUAUAAUUAAAAGCUUGAAUGAAAGAAAUAAUGUGAAAGAAGCUUUUUAAACUAAAAUAGUGAAAAUUAAUAUUUAAGUGAAAAAUCUUAAAUAGAAUCAAAAGACAAGAAGACCCUUUAGAACUUUACAAAUUGAUUUAAUAUCAUUUAGUUAAUUUGUUAAAUUGGGGAGAUUUUUAAAUAAAUAAAUCUUUAGAUAUAAAAAAAUGAUUUAAAUCAGAUUAAAUUAUCCAAAUGUGAAAUAAAACAAGUUACCUAAGGGAUAACAGCGCAAAAUUUUUGAGAAGUUCUCAUUUACAAAAUAAAUUGCGACCUCGAUGUUGGAUUAAGAACAACUUAUAAAGAAAAAUUAUAAGAGUUGUUCGUCGCCA
RNAcentral lists this ribosomal RNA (487 nucleotides) under Bemisia tabaci. RNAcentral's name for it is "partial 16S ribosomal RNA". The record is from RNAcentral. Lineage: Eukaryota; Metazoa; Arthropoda; Insecta; Hemiptera; Aleyrodidae.